UUCCAGGAGACUUGAGUUUUUGAGACGU
RNAcentral lists this non-coding RNA (28 nucleotides) under Bombyx mori (domestic silkworm). Lineage: Eukaryota; Metazoa; Arthropoda; Insecta; Lepidoptera; Bombycidae. The record is from RNAcentral.